CUCCAACAGAGAAACUUCGUUGUUUCUUCACCUUGGUGGUUUGAUCUAGAGAGGAGAUGAUGAAAAUUGAGAGAAAAGGAUCAUGUAAUUAUUGUUGUAGUAGUAUUGAUUGAAGGAAUCGAUUCAAGCUACGGGAAAGGAUAAAUCAGGUGCUGUGAGUUGCUCGCAGUGCGAAGAUAAUGGGGUGAAUUUUGUUGACCACUUUGACAGAAGGUUCAAGGCAGGUGGUUUAGGUUCGCUUUGCAGGACAUGCUCAUUGCUGGAACCGAUGCAUCUUCUUCGACGCUUGUGUGGGCAAUGACAGAAAUAAUUAGGAGUCCAACAGUGAUGGAAAGAUUACAAGAGGAAGUGAGAAGAAUUCUCGGCAAUAAGAACAUGGUACACGAAAUUGAUCUUCCCAAACUGAACUACUUGAAAUUAGUGGUUAAAGAGACACUGCGGAUUCAUCCUCCGGGACCAUUACUAGUUCCAAGGGAAACUAGAUAUGCGUAAUAAAGGGGUACGACAUCCCAGCCAAAACAAAGGUAUUCUUUAAUGCAAAAGCUAUUGCAAUAGACCCUAAGUUUUGGGAAGACCCUGAAGAGUUCCGACCAGAAAGAUUCAUAACUAAGAACAUAGAAUUUAAGGAGUUCCGACCAGAAAGAUUCAUAACUAAGAACAUGGAAUUUAAGGGCAAGACUUUGAGAUGGUACCAUUUGGGAUUGGACGGAGGGGUUGCCCUGGUAUUGACUCUGAUUUGGUCAUAAUUGAACUUGUUCUUGCAGAUCUUCUCUACUGUUUUAACUGGGAAUCUUCUCCUGUUAUCGCAAUGCACAAGAAGAUUCCACUCUUAUUGGUUGCUGCCGCUGCAAAUGUAUAUCCAAGUGCAUAAGAAGUUGGGAAGCAGCUCAUCAAAGGCGGCCUGGGUGAUGCCUAAAUAAAGACACACGAGUUAAGUAUCCCGCAAAAUUGGAAGAAGAUUUUUCUCAAUAAGAAGGUUUGCUAUUAGCCGAUCCAAACUAUUUCUACGUAGUGGUAAUGUCUUGCUUGUAAGGUGAUAACAUUCUAAGCACAAGAUCAUGCAUGGUAUCAUCCAUGUCUUGCCAUCAGAUCGCUUGUGUUUUGUUAUUUUUUCAACAAUUUUUAUAUAUUAGAAAUGAGCAAAUUACAACUCAAA
Long non-coding RNA from Papaver somniferum (opium poppy), 1156 nucleotides. RefSeq lists it as uncharacterized. The record is from RefSeq and is a predicted model, not a curated record. The transcript has 3 exons. Lineage: Eukaryota; Viridiplantae; Streptophyta; Magnoliopsida; Ranunculales; Papaveraceae.